CUGGCUUUUUCGAUGACAGUGUUUAAGAUGAAGAAAGAGAUGAUUUCCCUCCCAGUGUGGUCCCACUGCUCUGGCCAAUACCUUUGCACUGUCUGUAGCCAGACUCCCCUGAGUGUGCCUGACCUCAUCUGCAUCUCCAGAGCUACAGAGGGUCAGGCCCAGCAAGUACUUGGAGGAAAGGACAUCUUGCAUUAUGAUGAGAAUAGUUUUAACCUCCCAGACACCCUGAAACAGGCUUGGGGACCCCCCCCCCAGAGGUCUGUGACCACACUUUGACAAUCACUGAUUCUUCCAGGGCUGCCAGGGGUGUUGGAGGAUGUGGAUGAAAUCAGAUGAAAAGAAACAUCAUAAUAAACAGCUCCACAUCACCAGGCACCAGCACCUCUACCCCCAUUAUCUAGGCCUCCUCCCCAUUUGGGGGCAAAUGUCUUCUAUCCCCAUGUCCAGCCCCUCUCCCAACUGCAACUCUGGCUGAAGCUGCAGAUGAAAACCCCUUGGCUCCUUCAAAACUCCCUUGAAAAGUCAACUUCUUCCUGAAGUCUUACCGAACAUAAGCCCUCAAUGGGGAUCACAUCUCCCACCUCUGCAGCUCCAGUCCACUCUGUUAUCUUCUUCAUGGCCAAAUCUCAUUCUUAGCAUUCUUCUUUGGACAUAAAAAGUCCUCCACAGGCUCCUUUUGAUCAAAAGGAACGAGGAUAGGGAAAGCGUGUCUCCAUCAAUGGCUGGGGAUGAUGAGCGACAUUGACUAACCCAUGGUUAGCAGGCCAAAGCAUUCUGGGAAAUCCUGCAAUCAAUUUCAGAGCAUGGGCAUGUUCCCAAGAACUGAGGACCAGGAAGUAACACGCCAGGGGGACUGGGACCAGAGGGACCUGGUGGAGAGGAAGGCUGACAAGUUCUCCAAGGGCUGACCUAGCCCAAACUGUGACUUUGAUGAAGCUUACAUUUAGGAUCCUUUUUGCUGUGUGACCUUGGGCAAACCACUUAACCUCUCUGGGCCUCCAUUUCCACAUCUGUCAAGUGAAGUUUGGAUCAAUCACUAGAACUCCUUACAGCUCCCCUUUCUGUGAGUCAAUGAUCUGCCUGUGCUAAAACAUGAUGUUGACCCUCCUCCCUCCUAGGAGAAGGGCAGUCAAGCUUUCUGGGCUGCUGACAUUGGAACCUAGCACGAUGUUGACAUUCAAAUGUUCUGUGACAUCAUCAGAUGAUAUGCACACAUGCCAUAAUGCUAAUGUGACAAGCCCACCAUGCUGACAUUCAAACAUGCUGUUGCCGACAUUGAAUGCUCUGACAUCAUUCACUCAGGCAGCAUAAACAACAGCCAGCUAUGUGCCAAUCACACAAACAGCCUGGGAAACCUAUGUGUCCACAGAGUCCCUUCUCAGAACUUUCCUCGCCAAGAAUCUAGACCCCAUAGCAGCCUUGGGGAGAGGCUUAGAGCUCCCUUGGCUAAACUCUUCACUGGUACCAUCCCAGUGGAAUACCAUGGGAUGUUGGCUGGAGCUGGGGGGAGACUCUAGUAGCUCAUUGUGACAGCACCUUGCUGCCCCUGCACCUGCUCUGUCCAGGCACUGGUCUGGGUCAUGGGCUCACACCAACAGCUCAACAGGACAGCACUAUUUACAGAGAAGGAUACUGAGGCUCAAAGAGAUGGCAGCCACCAUGGAUCCCUGAGGCUUCCCUGGCCCCCAGCAGGCUUCUACAUCAGCAGCAGGAAGUCAAGACCAAGAGAAGGGGGCUCCCUCCACAGCAGCCACCCCAUCCGCUCCUGUUACACCCAGAGUGCCGGCUCUCUUCCCAGAACUUCCUCCAGCAGAAGGAAAAUCCCUGGAUAGAGAAUCCUCAGCCAGGACUCCCACCAGCGGUCCUGGCACUGCUCUGGAUGCAGCAGGGAACACCGGGAGCAGGACGGUUCUGGGUCAAAUUUCGACUUUGGCAAUUAUUCGCUGUGCAACCACAGACACAUCAUUUAACCUCCCUCAGCCUCGGCUAAAAAACAGAAUAGAACUUGUGACCUUCAUCACAGCCUGCUUACAAAGCCAAAACAGACCAGGUGCCGUGGCUCACUCCUAUAAUCCCAGCACUUUGGGAAGCCAAGUCAGGAGGAUCACUUCAGGCUAGCAGUUCAAGACCAGCCUGGGGAACAUGGACCAUGUCUCUACAAAACAAUAAAAAAAAAAUUAGCCAGGUGCGGUAGUGUGUGCC
Molecule: non-coding RNA, 2202 nt
Organism: Callithrix jacchus (white-tufted-ear marmoset)
Lineage: Eukaryota; Metazoa; Chordata; Mammalia; Primates; Cebidae
Source: RefSeq, a predicted model, not a curated record